RNAcentral lists this ribosomal RNA (861 nucleotides) under uncultured bacterium. Its description in RNAcentral is "bacterial SSU rRNA". It matches the Rfam family "Bacterial small subunit ribosomal RNA", at positions 28 to 898 of the family's 1533-position model. The record is from RNAcentral.
GAUGAACGCUAGCGGCAGGCUUAACACAUGCAAGUCGAGGGGUAGUCUAGCAAUAGAUGAGACCGGCGCACGGGUGCGUAACGCGUAUGCAAUCUACCUUUUACAGAGGGAUAGCCCAGAGAAAUUUGGAUUAAUACCUCAUAGUAUAACGACUCGGCAUCGAGAUGUUAUUAAAGUUCCAACGGUAAAAGAUGAGCAUGCGUCCCAUUAGCUAGUUGGUGUGGUAACGGCACACCAAGGCAACGAUGGGUAGGGGUCCUGAGAGGGAGAUCCCCCACACUGGUACUGAGACACGGACCAGACUCCUACGGGAGGCAGCAGUGAGGAAUAUUGGUCAAUGGGCGCAAGCCUGAACCAGCCAUGCCGCGUGCAGGAUGACGGUCCUAUGGAUUGUAAACUGCUUUUGUACAGGAAGAAACACUCCCUCGUGAGGGAGCUUGACGGUACUGUAAGAAUAAGGAUCGGCUAACUCCGUGCCAGCAGCCGCGGUAAUACGGAGGAUCCAAGCGUUAUCCGGAAUCAUUGGGUUUAAAGGGUCCGUAGGCGGGUUUAUAAGUCAGUGGUGAAAGCCCAUCGCUCAACGAUGGAACGGCCAUUGAUACUGUAGAUCUUGAAUUAUUAGGANGUNACUAGAAUAUGUAGUGUAGCGGUGAAAUGCUUAGAGAUUACAUGGAAUACCAAUUGCGAAGGCAGGUNACUACUAAUGGAUUGACGCUGAUGGACGAAAGCGUGGGUAGCGAACAGGAUUAGAUACCCUGGUAGUCCACGCCGUAAACGAUGGAUACUAGCUGUUCGGAGCAAUCUGAGUGGCUAAGCGAAAGUGAUAAGUAUCCCACCUGGGGAGUACGUUCGCAGAAUGAA